This 225-nucleotide ribosomal RNA is filed under the name uncultured bacterium. RNAcentral's name for it is "partial 16S ribosomal RNA". It matches the Rfam family "Bacterial small subunit ribosomal RNA", at positions 262 to 504 of the family's 1533-position model. The record is from RNAcentral.
GGCCUACCAAGGCUGCGAUGCAUAGCCGGCCUGAGAGGGUGAACGGCCACAUUGGGACUGAGACACGGCCCAGACUCCUACGGGAGGCAGCAGUGGGGAAUAUUGCACAAUGGGGGAAACCCUGAUGCAGCAACGCCGCGUGAGUGAUGACGGCCUUCGGGUUGUAAAGCUCUGUCUUCAGGGACGAUAAUGACGGUACCUGAGGAGGAAGCCACGGCUAACUAC